AUCAUGGCUCAGGACGAACGCUGGCGGCGUGCCUAACACAUGCAAGUCGAGCGGAGACAGUGAGUAGCUUGCUAUGAGCUGUUUUAGCGGCGGACGGGUGAGUAACGCGUGAGCAACCUUUCCCAGACAGGGGAAUAACAGUUAGAAAUGGCUGCUAAUACCGCAUAAGACCACAGCACCGCAUGGUGCAGGGGUAAAAACUCCGGUGGUAUGAGAUGGACCCGCGUCUGAUUAGCCAGUUGGCGGGGUAACGGCCCACCAAAGCGACGAUCAGUAGCCGGCCUGAGAGGGUGAACGGCCACAUUGGGACUGAGACACGGCCCAAACUCCUACGGGAGGCAGCAGUGGGGAGUAUUGCACAAUGGGGGAAACCCUGAUGCAGCGACGCCGCGUGAGUGAAGAAGUAUUUCGGUAUGUAAAGCUCUAUCAGCAGGAAAGAAAAUGACGGUACCUGACUAAGAAGCCCCGGCUAACUACGUG
RNAcentral lists this ribosomal RNA (480 nucleotides) under uncultured bacterium. RNAcentral describes it as "bacterial SSU rRNA". It matches the Rfam family "Bacterial small subunit ribosomal RNA", at positions 16 to 507 of the family's 1533-position model. The record is from RNAcentral.